GGUUGCCUUCCUACGGGGGGGCACAGGGGGAAUUUUGGACAAUGGGGGAAACCCUGAUCCAGCCAUCCCGCGUGUAUGAUGAAGGCCUUCGGGUUGUAAAGUACUUUUGGCAGAGAAGAAAAGGUAUCCCCUAAUACGGGAUACUGCUGACGGUAUCUGCAGAAUAAGCACCGGCUAACUACGUGCCAGCAGCCGCGGUAAUACGUAGGGGGCAAGCGUUAAUCGGAAUUACUUGGGGCGUAAAGCGUCGUGUAAGGGCGGUUCCGGAAAGAAAAGAUGUGAAAUCCCCAGGGGCUCAACCUUUGGAACUGCAUUUUUAACUGCCGAGCUAGAGUAUGUCAGAGGGGGGUAGAAUUCCACGUGUAGCAGUGAAAUGCGUAGAUAUGUGGAGGAAUACCGAUGGCGAAGGCAGCCCCCCUGGGAUAAUACUGACGCUCAGACACGAGGAAUGCGUGGGGAGCAAACAGGAUUAGAUACCCUGGUAGUCCACGCCCUAAACGAUGUCAACUAGCUGUUGGGGCCGUUAGGCCUUAGUAGCGCAGCUAACGCGUGAAGUUGACCGCCUGGGGAGUACGGUCGCAAGAUUAAAACUCAAGAAAAU
This 601-nucleotide ribosomal RNA is filed under the name Alcaligenes faecalis. RNAcentral's name for it is "bacterial SSU rRNA". It matches the Rfam family "Bacterial small subunit ribosomal RNA", at positions 329 to 910 of the family's 1533-position model. Lineage: Bacteria; Pseudomonadati; Pseudomonadota; Betaproteobacteria; Burkholderiales; Alcaligenaceae. The record is from RNAcentral.